CCAAUAGCGUACAUUAAAGUUGUUGCAGUUAAAAAGCUCGUAGUUGAAUUUCGGGAUCAAUAUGUCGGUCGUGCCUUCGGUACGUACUGGUAUCAUUGGUCUCUCCUUUCUGACGAACCAUGAUGUCAUUAAUUUGGUGUUAUGGGGAGUUAGGACUGUUACUUUGAAAAGAUUAGAGUGUUUAAAGCAGGCUUUAGCUUGAAUACAUUAGCAUGGAAUAAUGAAAUAGGACGUUCGAACCUAUUUUGUUGGUUUCUAGGAUCAACGUAAUGAUUAAUAGGGAUAGUUGGGGGGAUUAGUAUUCAAUUGUCAGAGGUGAAAUUCUUGGAUUUAUUGAAGACUAACUACUGCGAAAGCAUUUGCCAAGGAUGUUUUCAUUAAUCAAGAACGAAAGUUAGGGGAUCGAAGACGAUCAGAUACCGUCGUAGUCUUAACCAUAAACUAUGCCGACUAGGGAACGGAUGAUGUUAAUUUUUUAAUGACUCAUUCGGCGCCUUACG
RNAcentral lists this ribosomal RNA (500 nucleotides) under uncultured Glomeromycotina. RNAcentral's name for it is "partial small subunit ribosomal RNA". It matches the Rfam family "Eukaryotic small subunit ribosomal RNA", at positions 591 to 1092 of the family's 1831-position model. Lineage: Eukaryota; Fungi; Glomeromycota. The record is from RNAcentral.